UGCUAACUAUACAAAGAACCUGGCCAGGCCAAAGCUUUAUUUUUUCGAAAAUAAGAGGAGCCAAAUUAAUAGUUUACUUCAUUCCAGGAAUAGUAUAGUUCACUUAUAUAGCAAGUUCAACUUUUAGAACGAGAGAAGGGAAUCCUUCCAUACAUUUUGUUCUGUAAACUUUUUUUCUUUACAUAGAACCUACCCUAAGAGGUAUUGUUAAUAUUGUAUUAUUCAAAACUUCUCAUGUACAUAAAAGUGUAUGUAAUCAUAAUCUCUUUAUAUAAAGUCUAUAUCUUUAAAAAAUACAAAUGAGAAUACUAAAUGUAAAUUAUUUUUAUCAUAUAUCUGGCAGAAGUUCCUAUAUCAGCACAUAACUUCAUUUCUUUUAAUGAAUGUUGCAUUAUAUGGAUACACCUGAAUUUAGUUAAAUAACCAGAAUUUAUUUGAUAAUUAUUCAUUUGAAGAAUUAUUUAAGAACAUUUACUAUAUUCAGGUAAGACUUUGUCUAAGUCACUUGGAUUCCACCUUGAUUCCACUCUUAGUCUACGUUUUCACAUAAUUAUGUGAACUAUCGGAAUCUUAAUUCAGAUGGUUUUCAGCCAGUUCUCGGGAUAUUGAAUGUAUUCCAAAGACUUUGCUGCAAUAUACGUCAAUCAUCAAAACAAGCUUGUAGCCUGGAACGGUUCCUUGGUGUCCCUUUGACCGUCAUGCCCCUGACGCUUCUGAAGGUUCCAGGCACUGAAAUUUGGAUGCGUGGGCUGCGGCACCUCAUUCGGGGCUGCCUCCUGCAAGCGUGCCCUCCUGCCCGGAGACCCUCCACUUGGGCCGGACGCCCCAAGCCCGGCUGCCCUUGCCAUCGCAGUGAUGCCACCUCACCCUGCUCGGGCUCCGGCACCCUGGCACCGGGGCCCCCACCCAGGCAGCACCCCUCACCCCACUGAGGCGACAGCACCUUGCGCUGGGCAGCCCCUCCACGGACACCCACCUCACCCUGCUCCGGUGCUGACAGCCUGCAAUGCGAACGUCGCGGCGCCCCACUCCCCGGGCGGCUGGUCUCACACAGAGGCUGACUUGCUCAGGGGGAGAGGGAUCACGGGAAAAAGAACAAGCUUCAGAUGGUGUUCAGAAACGCGUUUUAGUAUCUGUCUGUACGUGAGUCGUAGCCGAACCAGCUGACGAACUGAAGUCCUUUUACUUAAGCAGAAAGCACAAACCGUAAGCACAAAAGCGUUCUCGUUUACAUCAUGAAUCCCAAAGGAGUAUUUUGAAGUGUUAAAACGGGUGGUCACAUUUGACUGUGAUUAUUUUAAAAACAUGCGCAGAGAAUUCACUCAGUCUUCAACAUUUUCUAUGUAUACACAAAAAUGAAACCAAUAAAAAUUAUCGUGUAAGACAUUUAAA
Molecule: long non-coding RNA, 1392 nt
Organism: Herpailurus yagouaroundi (jaguarundi)
Lineage: Eukaryota; Metazoa; Chordata; Mammalia; Carnivora; Felidae
Exons: 2
Source: RefSeq, a predicted model, not a curated record